GAUCCUGGCUCAGGAUGAACGCUGGCGGCGUGCUUAACACAUGCAAGUCGAGCGAAGCACUUUGCUUUGAUUUCUUCGGGAUGAAGAGCUUAGUGACUGAGCGGCGGACGGGUGAGGUAACGCGUGGGUAACCUGCCUCAUACAGGGGGAUAACAGUUAGAAAUGACUGCUAAUACCGCAUAAGGCCACAGCACCGCAUGGUAGCCAGGGGGUAAAAAACUCCGGUGGUAUGAGAUGGACCCG
Molecule: ribosomal RNA, 243 nt
Filed under: uncultured bacterium
Lineage: Bacteria
Description: partial 16S ribosomal RNA
Rfam family: Bacterial small subunit ribosomal RNA
Source: RNAcentral